GGAGCGGCGUGUUACCAGCCUCUGUAGGGCAGCGGCUUUCAAAUCUGAGGGGUAAAUCGAAGUGCCGAGUGCUGCCUAAUCAAAAAAAGAAAAGACUUAGGCCUGUCAACUCACAGAUGGUCCAUGAAGCAGGUAUUUUCCUUGCUGACGAUGCUGACUUCCAAGGACAGCUGAGACAUAUAGGAAGAGAAAAUCAUGACAGAUCAAACACAGGUAUGGGAAGAAAAGUUCCAAGUGUGGGAAGGCUUUGAGGGCUUUAUAGAAGUGGAGAAGCCAAGUUUGAAAAGGAGA
Molecule: long non-coding RNA, 291 nt
Organism: Cygnus olor (mute swan)
Lineage: Eukaryota; Metazoa; Chordata; Aves; Anseriformes; Anatidae
Exons: 2
Source: RefSeq, a predicted model, not a curated record